Molecule: ribosomal RNA, 450 nt
Filed under: uncultured bacterium
Lineage: Bacteria
Description: bacterial SSU rRNA
Rfam family: Bacterial small subunit ribosomal RNA
Source: RNAcentral
UUCCAGACUCCUACGGGAGGCAGCAGUGGGGAAUAUUGGGCAAUGGGCGAAAGCCUGACCCAGCAAUGCCGCGUGAAUGAAGAAGGUCUUAGGAUUGUAAAAUUCUGUCCUAUGGGAAGAAACAAAUGACGGUACCAUAGGAGGAAGCCCCGGCUAACUACGUGCCAGCAGCCGCGGUAAUACGUAGGGGGCGAGCGUUGUCCGGAAUUACUGGGUGUAAAGGGAGCGUAGGCGGGGAUGCAAGUUGGGUGUCAAAACUACCGGCUCAACUGGUAGUCGCACUCAAAACUGCAGCUCUUGAGUGAAGUAGAGGCAGGCGGAAUUCCUAGUGUAGCGGUGAAAUGCGUAGAUAUUAGGAGGAACACCAGUGGCGAAGGCGGCCUGCUGGGCUUUUACUGACGCUGAGGCUCGAAAGUGUGGGGAGCAAACAGGAUUAGAUACCCGCGUAUG